Molecule: ribosomal RNA, 483 nt
Filed under: uncultured bacterium
Lineage: Bacteria
Description: bacterial SSU rRNA
Rfam family: Bacterial small subunit ribosomal RNA
Source: RNAcentral
GAUGAACGCUAGCGGCAGGCUUAAUACAUGCAAGUCAAGGGGGUAGCAAUACAACCGGCGCACGGGUGAGUAACGCGUACACAACAUGCCAUAUACUGGGGUAUAGCUUUGGGAAACUGAAGGUAAUCCCCCAUAACAUUGCGAGAGGGCAUCUGAUUGCAAUUAAAGUUUCGGCGGUAUAUGAUUGGUGUGCGUUUGAUUAGCUAGUUGGUAGGGUAACGGCCUACCAAGGCGACGAUCAAUAGCUGGCGUGAGAGCGCGACCAGCCACACUGGAACUGAGACACGGUCCAGACUCCUACGGGAGGCAGCAGUAGGGAAUAUUGGACAAUGGAGGAAACUCUGAUCCAGCCAUGCCGCGUGAUAGAUGAAGGCCCUCUGGGUUGUAAAUAUCUUUUAUCUGGGAGAAACUCCUCUAUUCUUAGAGGCCUGACGGUACCAGAGGAAUAAGCACCGGCUAACUCCGUGCCAGCAGCCGCGGUAA